AUUGAACGCUGGCGGCAUGCCUUACACAUGCAAGUCGAACGGCAGCACGGGAGCAAUCCUGGUGGCGAGUGGCGAACGGGUGAGUAAUGCAUCGGAACGUGCCCAGUCGUGGGGGAUAACGUAGCGAAAGCUACGCUAAUACCGCAUACGAUCUGUGGAUGAAAGCGGGGGACCGUAAGGCCUCGCGCGAUUGGAGCGGCCGAUAUCAGAUUAGGUAGUUGGUAGGGUAAAGGCCUACCAAGCCGACGAUCUGUAGCUGGUCUGAGAGGACGACCAGCCACACUGGGACUGAGACACGGCCCAGACUCCUACGGGAGGCAGCAGUGGGGAAUUUUGGACAAUGGGCGCGAGCCUGAUCCAGCAAUGCCGCGUGCAGGAUGAAGGCCUUCGGGUUGUAAACUGCUUUUGUACGGAGCGAAAAGGCUCUCUCUAAUACAGGGGGCUCAUGACGGUACCGUAAGAAUAAGCACCGGCUAACUACGUGCCAGCAGCCGCAGUAA
This 500-nucleotide ribosomal RNA is filed under the name uncultured bacterium. RNAcentral's name for it is "partial 16S ribosomal RNA". It matches the Rfam family "Bacterial small subunit ribosomal RNA", at positions 30 to 523 of the family's 1533-position model. The record is from RNAcentral.